ACGACCCUUCGGGGUUAGUGGCGCACGGGUGCGUAACGCGUGGGAAUCUGCCCCUUGCUUCGGAAUAACAGUUAGAAAUGACUGCUAAUACCGGAUGAUGACUUCGGUCCAAAGAUUUAUCGGCAAGGGAUGAGCCCGCGUAGGAUUAGGUAGUUGGUGGGGUAAAGGCCUACCAAGCCGACGAUCCUUAGCUGGUCUGAGAGGAUGAUCAGCCACACUGGGACUGAGACACGGCCCAGACUCCUACGGGAGGCAGCAGUGGGGAAUAUUGGACAAUGGGCGCAAGCCUGAUCCAGCAAUGCCGCGUGAGUGAUGAAGGCCUUCGGGUCGUAAAGCUCUUUUACCAGGGAUGAUAAUGACAGUACCUGGAGAAUAAGCUCCGGCUAACUCCGUGCCAGCAGCCGCGGUAAUACGGAGGGAGCUAGCGUUGUUCGGAAUUACUGGGCGUAAAGCGCACGUAGGCGGUUACUCAAGUCAGAGGUGAAAGCCCGGGGCUCAACCCCGGAACUGCCUUUGAAACUAGGUGACUGGAAUCUUGGAGAGGCGAGUGGAAUUCCGAGUGUAGAGGUGAAAUUCGUAGAUAUUCGGAAGAACACCAGUGGCGAAGGCGACUCGCUGGACAAGUAUUGACGCUGAGGUGCGAAAGCGUNNNGAGCAAACAGGAUUAGAUACCCUGGUAGUCCACGCCGUNNNCGAUGAUAACUAGCUGUCCGGGCACUUGGUGUUUGGGUGGCGCAGCUAACGCAUUAAGUUAUCCGCCUNNNNNNUACGGUCGCAAGAUUAAAACUC
This 789-nucleotide ribosomal RNA is filed under the name Sphingomonas sp. V7B3-6. RNAcentral's name for it is "bacterial SSU rRNA". It matches the Rfam family "Bacterial small subunit ribosomal RNA", at positions 66 to 902 of the family's 1533-position model. The record is from RNAcentral. Lineage: Bacteria; Pseudomonadati; Pseudomonadota; Alphaproteobacteria; Sphingomonadales; Sphingomonadaceae.